RNAcentral lists this ribosomal RNA (1444 nucleotides) under Limosilactobacillus fermentum. RNAcentral's name for it is "bacterial SSU rRNA". It matches the Rfam family "Bacterial small subunit ribosomal RNA". Lineage: Bacteria; Bacillati; Bacillota; Bacilli; Lactobacillales; Lactobacillaceae. The record is from RNAcentral.
UGCAAGUCGAACGCGUUGGCCCAAUUGAUUGAUGGUGCUUGCACCUGAUUGAUUUUGGUCGCCAACGAGUGGCGGACGGGUGAGUAACACGUAGGUAACCUGCCCAGAAGCGGGGGACAACAUUUGGAAACAGAUGCUAAUACCGCAUAACAGCGUUGUUCGCAUGAACAACGCUUAAAAGAUGGCUUCUCGCUAUCACUUCUGGAUGGACCUGCGGUGCAUUAGCUUGUUGGUGGGGUAAUGGCCUACCAAGGCGAUGAUGCAUAGCCGAGUUGAGAGACUGAUCGGCCACAAUGGGACUGAGACACGGCCCAUACUCCUACGGGAGGCAGCAGUAGGGAAUCUUCCACAAUGGGCGCAAGCCUGAUGGAGCAACACCGCGUGAGUGAAGAAGGGUUUCGGCUCGUAAAGCUCUGUUGUUAAAGAAGAACACGUAUGAGAGUAACUGUUCAUACGUUGACGGUAUUUAACCAGAAAGUCACGGCUAACUACGUGCCAGCAGCCGCGGUAAUACGUAGGUGGCAAGCGUUAUCCGGAUUUAUUGGGCGUAAAGAGAGUGCAGGCGGUUUUCUAAGUCUGAUGUGAAAGCCUUCGGCUUAACCGGAGAAGUGCAUCGGAAACUGGAUAACUUGAGUGCAGAAGAGGGUAGUGGAACUCCAUGUGUAGCGGUGGAAUGCGUAGAUAUAUGGAAGAACACCAGUGGCGAAGGCGGCUACCUGGUCUGCAACUGACGCUGAGACUCGAAAGCAUGGGUAGCGAACAGGAUUAGAUACCCUGGUAGUCCAUGCCGUAAACGAUGAGUGCUAGGUGUUGGAGGGUUUCCGCCCUUCAGUGCCGGAGCUAACGCAUUAAGCACUCCGCCUGGGGAGUACGACCGCAAGGUUGAAACUCAAAGGAAUUGACGGGGGCCCGCACAAGCGGUGGAGCAUGUGGUUUAAUUCGAAGCUACGCGAAGAACCUUACCAGGUCUUGACAUCUUGCGCCAACCCUAGAGAUAGGGCGUUUCCUUCGGGAACGCAAUGACAGGUGGUGCAUGGUCGUCGUCAGCUCGUGUCGUGAGAUGUUGGGUUAAGUCCCGCAACGAGCGCAACCCUUGUUACUAGUUGCCAGCAUUAAGUUGGGCACUCUAGUGAGACUGCCGGUGACAAACCGGAGGAAGGUGGGGACGACGUCAGAUCAUCAUGCCCCUUAUGACCUGGGCUACACACGUGCUACAAUGGACGGUACAACGAGUCGCGAACUCGCGAGGGCAAGCAAAUCUCUUAAAACCGUUCUCAGUUCGGACUGCAGGCUGCAACUCGCCUGCACGAAGUCGGAAUCGCUAGUAAUCGCGGAUCAGCAUGCCGCGGUGAAUACGUUCCCGGGCCUUGUACACACCGCCCGUCACACCAUGAGAGUUUGUAACACCCAAAGUCGGUGGGGUAACCUUUUAGGAGCCAGCCGC